GUGGCGUUAGCUUAGAGGUAAAGCAGUGGAUUGUGAUUCCACCUAGAGGGAUUCGAGUUCCCUACGCCACCCCG
This 74-nucleotide transfer RNA is filed under the name bacterium. RNAcentral describes it as "tRNA-His". It matches the Rfam family "tRNA". Rfam says of the family: Transfer RNA (tRNA) molecules are approximately 80 nucleotides in length. Their secondary structure includes four short double-helical elements and three loops (D, anti-codon, and T loops). The record is from RNAcentral.